Molecule: ribosomal RNA, 690 nt
Filed under: Lentilactobacillus buchneri
Lineage: Bacteria; Bacillati; Bacillota; Bacilli; Lactobacillales; Lactobacillaceae
Description: Lactobacillus buchneri partial 23S ribosomal RNA
Rfam family: Bacterial large subunit ribosomal RNA
Source: RNAcentral
AGCGUGGCGGGAGACAGUGUCAGGUAGGCAGUUUGACUGGGGCGGUCGCCUCCCAAACAGUAACGGAGGCGCCCAAAGGUUCCCUCAGAAUGGUUGGAAAUCAUUCAACGAGUGUAAAGGCAGAAGGGAGCUUGACUGCGAGACAGACAGGUCGAGCAGGGACGAAAGUCGGGCUUAGUGAUCCGGUGGUACCGUAUGGAAGGGCCAUCGCUCAACGGAUAAAAGCUACCCUGGGGAUAACAGGCUUAUCUCCCCCAAGAGUCCACAUCGACGGGGAGGUUUGGCACCUCGAUGUCGGCUCAUCGCAUCCUGGGGCUGUAGUCGGUCCCAAGGGUUGGGCUGUUCGCCCAUUAAAGCGGUACGCGAGCUGGGUUCAGAACGUCGUGAGACAGUUCGGUCCCUAUCCGUCGCGGGCGUAGGAAAUUUGAGAGGAGCUGUCCUUAGUACGAGAGGACCGGGAUGGACAUACCGCUGGUGUACCAGUUGCGCCGCCAGGCGCACCGCUGGGUAGCUACGUAUGGAUGAGAUAAACGCUGAAAGCAUCUAAGUGUGAAACUUACCUCAAGAUGAGAUUUCCCAUUCCUAUAUGGAAGUAAGACCCCUGAGAGAUGAUCAGGUAGAUAGGUUGGAAGUGGAAGUGCAGUGAUGUACGGAGCGGACCAAUACUAAUCGGUCGAGGACUUAACCAAG